RNAcentral lists this ribosomal RNA (253 nucleotides) under uncultured bacterium. RNAcentral describes it as "partial 16S ribosomal RNA". It matches the Rfam family "Bacterial small subunit ribosomal RNA", at positions 524 to 776 of the family's 1533-position model. The record is from RNAcentral.
UACGAAGGGGGCUAGCGUUGCUCGGAAUCACUGGGCGUAAAGGGUGCGUAGGCGGGGCUUUAAGUCAGGGGUGAAAUCCUGGAGCUCAACUCCAGAACUGCCUUUGAUACUGAGGAUCUUGAGUUCGGGAGAGGUGAGUGGAACUGCGAGUGUAGAGGUGAAAUUCGUAGAUAUUCGCAAGAACACCAGUGGCGAAGGCGGCUCACUGGCCCGAUACUGACGCUGAGGCACGAAAGCGUGGGUAGCGAACAGG